GAUGAACGCUGGCGGCGUGCCUAAUACAUGCAAGUCGAGCGAACAGAUGAGGAGCUUGCUCCUCUGACGUUAGCGGCGGACGGGUGAGUAACACGUGGAUAACCUACCUAUAAGACUGGGAUAACUUCGGGAAACCGGAGCUAAUACCGGAUAAUAUAUUGAACCGCAUGGUUCAAUAGUGAAAGACGGUUUUGCUGUCACUUAUAGAUGGAUCCGCGCGCAUUAGCUAGUUGGUAAGGUAACGGCUUACCAAGGCAACGAUGCGUAGCCGACCUGAGAGGGUGAUCGGCCACACUGGAACUGAGACACGGUCUAGACUCCUACGGGAGGCAGCAGUAGGGAAUCUUCCGCAAUGGGCGAAAGCCUGACGGAGCAACGCCGCGUGAGUGAUGAAGGUCUUCGGAUCGUAAAACUCUGUUAUUAGGGAAGAACAAAUGUGUAAGUAACUAUGCACGUCUUGACGGUACCUAAUCAGAAAGCCACGGCUAACUACGUG
This 496-nucleotide ribosomal RNA is filed under the name uncultured bacterium. Its description in RNAcentral is "partial 16S ribosomal RNA". It matches the Rfam family "Bacterial small subunit ribosomal RNA", at positions 28 to 507 of the family's 1533-position model. The record is from RNAcentral.